This 299-nucleotide microRNA precursor is filed under the name Amborella trichopoda. RNAcentral describes it as "miR159 stem-loop (atr-MIR159)". Its record names the gene atr-MIR159. The stretch from base 46 to 243 matches the Rfam family "MIR159 microRNA precursor family". Lineage: Eukaryota; Viridiplantae; Streptophyta; Magnoliopsida; Amborellales; Amborellaceae. The record is from miRBase by way of RNAcentral.
UUCUAUGAGUUGUUUAGAUUGUUGGGUUGUGUGUAUUUUUGUAGGGUUGUUGACAUGGAGCUCCUUGAGGUCCAAUCCAGGUUCUUACUUAGGUAAAAGCAGCUGCUAGUUCAUGGAUCCCACUGUGUUAUUUCCAAAUAUAAGAGAAUGGAGAUAUAAUGGUGGUUUGCAUGACCAAGGAGCUGCAUUCUUGCCUUGUGAGAUUCCUUGUUUGGAUUGAAGGGAGCUCUAUGUGUUCUCCCCUUCCAAGCUUAUUUUCUCUCUCAUUUAUUUAGCCCUUGAUCUUUUCAUUUUUUGAA